Gadus morhua (Atlantic cod) is the source of this 67-nucleotide microRNA precursor. The record is from Ensembl. NCBI's taxonomy places the organism in Eukaryota, Metazoa, Chordata, Actinopteri, Gadiformes, Gadidae.
UACCUAUUGAUCACUUGGCUGUUUCCUUCGAAUCACCCGCUAGGGGACGUCAAGUGGGUCAAGUGGG